GAUGAACGCUGGCGGCGUGCUUAACACAUGCAAGUCGAACGGGAAAUAUUCAUUGAGACUUCGGUGGAUUUGAUCUAUUUCUAGUGGCGGACGGGUGAGUAACGCGUGGGUAACCUGCCUUAUACAGGGGGAUAACAGUCAGAAAUGGCUGCUAAUACCGCAUAAGCGCACAGAGCUGCAUGGCUCAGUGUGAAAAACUCCGGUGGUAUAAGAUGGACCCGCGUUGGAUUAGCUUGUUGGUGGGGUAACGGCCCACCAAGGCGACGAUCCAUAGCCGGCCUGAGAGGGUGAACGGCCACAUUGGGACUGAGACACGGCCCAGACUCCUACGGGAGGCAGCAGUGGGGAAUAUUGCACAAUGGGGGAAACCCUGAUGCAGCGACGCCGCGUGAAGGAAGAAGUAUCUCGGUAUGUAAACUUCUAUCAGCAGGGAAGAUAGUGACGGUACCUGACUAAGAAGCCCCGGCUAACUACGUGCCAGCAGCCGCGGUAAUACGUAGGGGGCAAGCGUUAUCCGGAUUUACUGGGUGUAAAGGGAGCGUAGACGGUGUGGCAAGUCUGAUGUGAAAGGCAUGGGCUCAACCUGUGGACUGCAUUGGAAACUGUCAUGCUUGAGU
Molecule: ribosomal RNA, 617 nt
Filed under: uncultured Lachnospiraceae bacterium
Lineage: Bacteria; Bacillati; Bacillota; Clostridia; Lachnospirales; Lachnospiraceae
Description: bacterial SSU rRNA
Rfam family: Bacterial small subunit ribosomal RNA
Source: RNAcentral